RNAcentral lists this ribosomal RNA (465 nucleotides) under uncultured Klebsiella sp. RNAcentral's name for it is "bacterial SSU rRNA". It matches the Rfam family "Bacterial small subunit ribosomal RNA", at positions 338 to 795 of the family's 1533-position model. The record is from RNAcentral. Lineage: Bacteria; Pseudomonadati; Pseudomonadota; Gammaproteobacteria; Enterobacterales; Enterobacteriaceae.
CCUACGGGCGGCAGCAGUGGGGAAUAUUGCACAAUGGGCGCAAGCCUGAUGCAGCCAUGCCGCGUGUGUGAAGAAGGCCUUCGGGUUGUAAAGCACUUUCAGCGGGGAGGAAGGCGUUAAGGUUAAUAACCUUGGCGAUUGACGUUACCCGCAGAAGAAGCACCGGCUAACUCCGUGCCAGCAGCCGCGGUAAUACGGAGGGUGCAAGCGUUAAUCGGAAUUACUGGGCGUAAAGCGCACGCAGGCGGACUGUCAAGUCGGAUGUGAAAUCCCCGGGCUCAACCUGGGAACUGCAUUCGAAACUGGCAGGCUAGAGUCUUGUAGAGGGGGGUAGAAUUCCAGGUGUAGCGGUGAAAUGCGUAGAGAUCUGGAGGAAUACCGGUGGCGAAGGCGGCCCCCUGGACAAAGACUGACGCUCAGGUGCGAAAGCGUGGGGAGCAAACAGGAUUAGAUACCCGUGUAGUC